RNAcentral lists this ribosomal RNA (622 nucleotides) under Salmonella enterica subsp. enterica serovar Choleraesuis. Its description in RNAcentral is "partial 23S ribosomal RNA". It matches the Rfam family "Bacterial large subunit ribosomal RNA", at positions 1 to 651 of the family's 2925-position model. The record is from RNAcentral. Lineage: Bacteria; Pseudomonadati; Pseudomonadota; Gammaproteobacteria; Enterobacterales; Enterobacteriaceae. RNAcentral also lists the same sequence under 1 other name.
GGGUUGUGAGGUUAAGCGACUAAGCGUACACGGUGGAUGCCCUGGCAGUCAGAGGCGAUGAAGGGCGUGCUAAUCUGCGAUAAGCGCCGGUAAGGUGAUAUGAACCGUUAUAACCGGCGAUACCCGAAUGGGGAAACCCAGUGUGACUCGUCACACUAUCAUUAACUGAAUCCAUAGGUUAAUGAGGCGAACCGGGGGAACUGAAACAUCUAAGUACCCCGAGGAAAAGAAAUCAACCGAGAUUCCCCCAGUAGCGGCGAGCGAACGGGGAGGAGCCCAGAGCCUGAAUCAGCAUGUGUGUUAGUGGAAGCGUCUGGAAAGGCGCGCGAUACAGGGUGACAGCCCCGUACACAAAAGCGCAUGUGCUGUGAGCUCGAUGAGUAGGGCGGGACACGUGGUAUCCUGUCUGAAUAUGGGGGGACCAUCCUCCAAGGCUAAAUACUCCUGACUGACCGAUAGUGAACCAGUACCGUGAGGGAAAGGCGAAAAGAACCCCGGCGAGGGGAGUGAAAAAGAACCUGAAACCGUGUACGUACAAGCAGUGGGAGCACAGGUUUACCUGUGUGACUGCGUACCUUUUGUAUAAUGGGUCAGCGACUUAUAUUCUGUAGCAAGGUUAACC